RNAcentral lists this long non-coding RNA (640 nucleotides) under Citrus maxima (pomelo). RNAcentral's name for it is "long non-coding RNA (CMAX_LNC002571)". Lineage: Eukaryota; Viridiplantae; Streptophyta; Magnoliopsida; Sapindales; Rutaceae. The record is from RNAcentral.
UAAAUUUGAUCACCGAAUCUACAAAUUAGAUCCCCAAGAUCAUAUUCUCGAUUUAAUUUCUCUUCCGUUUUUGUUUCACUUUGACUGCUGCUUUGAAGAGAUUUUUCAGCGUCGAAUGAUUUGGAGCCAGCUAAGCUAAUACAAUAUUCUUUGUAAGAACAGUUGACUGGUUUGGUCUACGGCUCGUCCUAGGUUACGUGUGGUCUCCGGUCGGGGAGCAAUGGCCCGUAGGCCAUCCCACGGCCAAAGCCAGGCUCCUUUUCUUUCUCCGCACAACUGCGUGGUGUAUUUUGAUUGGUUGAUUAGGUCGGCAUGCACGUAAGUCGCAAACGUGUCACUUUGCCAAAAUUCAAAGUUGAAGAGUUCACAGGCACUUAUAUUUUAAUGUCGGUAUUUUCGAGCUCGUUUAACCUACACUGCGCUGCUCGCAAUCAAUUUUGAAGCCCGAAUCCGCUGAGUAAACUAUGCGAAAGUACAAAUGGGCAACUGACGCAUGCCAGGGCAACGUACAGAAAAAGAAAAGAUCAAAAAGAGAGAGAGAGAGAGAGAGAGAGAGGGAAGGGGGAAAAAAAAAGAAAAUACAUGUAUCUUUUAGGUUAUUAGGUACAAUCAAGUGUGCGACCUUGAAGUUGGUCCACCA